GGAUGGAUCACCUCCUUUCCA
Molecule: ribosomal RNA, 21 nt
Filed under: 'Helianthus annuus' witches'-broom phytoplasma SuWB1
Lineage: Bacteria; Bacillati; Mycoplasmatota; Mollicutes; Acholeplasmatales; Acholeplasmataceae
Description: partial 16S ribosomal RNA
Source: RNAcentral